RNAcentral lists this ribosomal RNA (970 nucleotides) under Acinetobacter sp. Its description in RNAcentral is "bacterial SSU rRNA". It matches the Rfam family "Bacterial small subunit ribosomal RNA", at positions 535 to 1505 of the family's 1533-position model. Lineage: Bacteria; Pseudomonadati; Pseudomonadota; Gammaproteobacteria; Moraxellales; Moraxellaceae. The record is from RNAcentral.
CGAGUUUACCGGGAUUUACUGGGCGUAAAGCGUGCGUAGGCGGCUUUUUAAGUCGGAUGUGAAAUCCCUGAGCUUAACUUAGGAAUUGCAUUCGAUACUGGGAAGCUAGAGUAUGGGAGAGGAUGGUAGAAUUCCAGGUGUAGCGGUGAAAUGCGUAGAGAUCUGGAGGAAUACCGAUGGCGAAGGCAGCCAUCUGGCCUAAUACUGACGCUGAGGUACGAAAGCAUGGGGAGCAAACAGGAUUAGAUACCCUGGUAGUCCAUGCCGUAAACGAUGUCUACUAGCCGUUGGGGCCUUUGAGGCUUUAGUGGCGCAGCUAACGCGAUAAGUAGACCGCCUGGGGAGUACGGUCGCAAGACUAAAACUCAAAUGAAUUGACGGGGGCCCGCACAAGCGGUGGAGCAUGUGGUUUAAUUCGAUGCAACGCGAAGAACCUUACCUGGUCUUGACAUAGUAAGAACUUUCCAGAGAUGGAUUGGUGCCUUCGGGAACUUACAUACAGGUGCUGCAUGGCUGUCGUCAGCUCGUGUCGUGAGAUGUUGGGUUAAGUCCCGCAACGAGCGCAACCCUUUUCCUUAUUUGCCAGCGGGUUAAGCCGGGAACUUUAAGGAUACUGCCAGUGACAAACUGGAGGAAGGCGGGGACGACGUCAAGUCAUCAUGGCCCUUACGACCAGGGCUACACACGUGCUACAAUGGUCGGUACAAAGGGUUGCUACCUAGCGAUAGGAUGCUAAUCUCAAAAAGCCGAUCGUAGUCCGGAUUGGAGUCUGCAACUCGACUCCAUGAAGUCGGAAACGGCUAGUAAUCGCGGGAUCAGAAUGCCGCGGUGAAUACGGUUCCCCGGGCCUUGUACACACCGCCCGUCACACAUGGGGAAUUUGUUGCACAGAAGUAGGUAGUCUACCGCAGGGAGACGCUUAACACGGUGUGGGCCGAUGACUGAGGUGAAUCGUACGAGGUAACGGAUA